UAGCCACCAACCCUUAUAAAGCAUCACCUAGCUCCAAGCUUUAAACACCACAGCCUUCAAGCCUCAAGCUUUUCCUUCCAUCCUCCUUCUGUUGAAACUCUUGAACCCCCAUAGCCAUAGCCACACACAACAAAUUAUCAACACCAAACUCAAACAUAUCCAACACCAAGUCAAGCACAUGCAUUCUCAUUUGCUAAACUUGUGGGGCUUUAGCUCCCACACUCCAAGCUCUCAUGCCAAGCUCAUAUAAUCUCAUAUCAACAUCAGCAAGUCAUCUUCAACUCUUCGUCGAGCUGCCGGAAACAUCAACACAAAACACGCAGCCGCUGGAAGAAGAACAAAGUACUCCCCUAGGACUUGUUUUUCCCUCGGGAUACUUUGGGCCUAGUUCUCGCUAACUCAGACAAAGGGGCAACGAAGUCUUCAUUCAUCACUAUAUGGCGAUCUAAGAAUCAACAAAGCCCGGAUGAGCCUUCAGACGAAAACGACCCCAACACUAGGUUUUCUAAUUCCUUUAAAAAAAUUAAAAUACAAACAUAAAAUUGAAAAAAAAAAAUAGGUUUUAGAAAAAGAAAACAAACCCUACCCAUCCCUUCUCCCCUAAUCGCACCAAAUCCACCUCCUCUUUCUCUGUCCCUGUAAGACC
RNAcentral lists this long non-coding RNA (646 nucleotides) under Prunus persica (peach). Its description in RNAcentral is "long non-coding RNA (PPER_LNC007959)". Lineage: Eukaryota; Viridiplantae; Streptophyta; Magnoliopsida; Rosales; Rosaceae. The record is from RNAcentral.